Molecule: long non-coding RNA, 885 nt
Filed under: Brachypodium distachyon (stiff brome)
Lineage: Eukaryota; Viridiplantae; Streptophyta; Magnoliopsida; Poales; Poaceae
Description: long non-coding RNA (BDIS_LNC000947)
Source: RNAcentral
UGUUGACGAUGAGGCGGUCGAGCUCCUCGAGAAGGCGAGGUUCUCCAGAAAUCCGCUAUUCCACUCUCGAUCCGACUACCCAAAGGUGGCCAUCGGGCCAAGCGCGGGCCAAGGCCCACAAGCCCGGCUUUAUACGGGCCGGGCCGGCCCCAUAAACGCCUCCUGCCUGCCCAGGCACAGCCCGAAGCCCCACCAGGCCGGGGCAAGGCCCCUCAGGCCAAAGGUAUAAAAAUAAAAGGAAGAUUUGAUUUGGGCCAAAACUAGUUGAGUUGAUGGGCAAAAUGUAAAAAUAAUUUAGGUUGCGUCAGAUUUUAGAGAGUUGAUGGCCCAACCGAAAGAAAUCAAGAAAAAGAAAAUCGGGCGGUAACGGGCCGGCCCACGGGCUUGUCGAUGACGCCCAGGCACCAGCACCAGUCCGCGAUUAAGUAUGUGCGGGCCCAGCCCGAGUCAGGCCUAGCAUGCUGGGGUCCCGGGCUUUUUGUUGGGCCGGGUCAGAUGGCCACCUAUAACCAGACCCUCAUCCUUUGGAAGAAAAACAAAAAACAAAUGAAAAGGAGUCCUUGGGCCAACCCUGGCAUGAUUCUCUCGUAGAGUAAAUUAAAAAAAACCACCACAUUAGGUGUUAGGGUUUCACUUUGGUGCCAGUUUACGUUUUAGUUGAUAAAAACCAUCGAAUUAGACUAAGCAUGCGGUUGCUAGCGAAUAAUCGUGAAACUGAAAGGAUGGGCCACCGCUCAGGCCACCGUGCCAAUCCAACUGAACAACAAUCCCAAUGAGCACUCGAGCACUACCCCGCUCUUCCUGGACAUUGCGCACGCCCCCAACCUCGUCUUCCUCGUCUCCGUCGGAUCCGCUCACCCGCCGCCUCCCCGACCCUCGCGCGUC